RNAcentral lists this long non-coding RNA (5491 nucleotides) under Canis lupus familiaris (dog). RNAcentral describes it as "lncRNA (ENSCAFG00845016270.1)". The record is from RNAcentral. Lineage: Eukaryota; Metazoa; Chordata; Mammalia; Carnivora; Canidae.
UUUUUUUUUUUUUUUUUUUUAACAUUGGUGCUCUUAAAAGGGAUAAAUCUGAAUUAUGUAGUUCAAGCUGAAAUAGAGCUUUUCUCUAAAAAGAGGAGCAAAUACCAGAUAUUAAUGGUCUUGCCACCUGAUACUCAACUGCCCAGAAGCCACCAAAGGUACGGGAUGACCACCACCGAAGUUUCCUUGGCUCAUUGGCUCCUCUGUUUUGUUCUUCUAUGUGACUGUUAGCAUAUCUCAUUCCAUUUAAAAAUCCAUAAGUACGGCAUAAUCUGGCCUAGAGACGUUUACGCUGCGGAAGGCGGAGCAGGACAGCAGCUAGACCUGGAGACCGUUCACCGGGCGGUAGCAAGCAGGACGGUGCUGUAGCCAACACGCCUGGGUUCAAGUGCCAGCUCUGUCGCUUAUGUUCUAUGGGACUUCGGAAGUCGUCCUACUCCAUUUGGCAAUAGUUCGACCUCAGGGAGGGCAGGGAAGCAGGGAGGGACAGAGGGAGCAGGAGAGAGAAUCUUUAAGCUCCACACUGAGCAUGGAGUCUGAUGUGGGGCUCGAUCUCGUGACCCUGAGAUCGUGACCGGAGCUGAAAUCAGGAGUCAGGUGCUCAACCGGCUGAGCACCCCCCUCCCCGCCCGGCGCCCCUGGUGAGUUCUAAGUGAGGAACUCCAGCCUCGUCUGAUCUUAUUCUAGAAUUCCUGAUUUAUAUAAGCAUUUCUCCCCGGCUACCUGAUGGGCAUAUGAAAUCUAACACAUACCAAAGAGAACUUUUAAUUCCAACCCCCCCCAAACUUACAUACAGUGUCCUUCUUCCCCUUUUCGUCAAGAAGCAGCAGCACCCAGUAGUUACUCAGGCCAACAAGCUACCAUUACUCCUUCUGCUUCCUACUCAACCUCUCAACCAAACUUGCAUCACGUCCUGUUGACUCCAGCUGCACAUGUGCUUUAAAUCUGCCCACUGCUUGGCCCCACUUUCAACCUAGGUGAAGCCAAUCUGCUGUCCCUCUGGACUUUGCCAAUCACCAUCUCCCUGAUCCUACUCUUGUGAAAUGGGAUAAUCCACUUAGAAAGGCACUUGGCACAAAGUUCUCAGUCAAUGUCAACUAUUUUUUUUUUUAAUGUCAACUAUUAUUCUACAAAUAUUUCCCAAGUCCUAUUAUGCAUCAGGCAGAGCGCGAAGCACAGGGGAAGCAGCAGUGAAUAGGGCCCUCCCACUGCAAGUGUUAACAACCCAGUAUGAUGAAAGUCAUGGAAAAAGCACCGGGUGUUCCUCAGAUCUACACAGGGAGAGGUCAGGAAGGACUCCUGCAGUAAACCGUGUUGAUCUUGAGGGGUUGAGAAGAUCAAGAAUAGAGGAAGGGGGAGAAGGAACAUAUUAGAAGCCUGUAGAUGGGGGCAGAGGUGGGGAGGAAGGGGAUGGCGGGAUCACUUAGUGGAAGAGGCAUCCUGUAGAAGGUACAGGUUGGGCAUUCUGGACGUGCUGAAUUUGGGAAUCUGCAAGUCAUGUACUUGGAGGUUUCUGUAGGCAGCUGGACACAGGGCUCUGGAGGGCAAGGGCAUGGUCUCAGCUGGGCACCCAGGUCUGGGGGUUGCUAACACAUAGUGGGUAACACAAACCCUGAGUGGAUGAGACCAUCCAGGGAUUGUGACAACCAUCUCACUAUAAACGAUAUUCUUUCUCAUGAGCAUCAGUCUCGAAUCCAUUACUUUAGACUCGACCCUUCACUCUCCAAUCAUCGACUUUAGCUGCAAAUGUAGUUACAAUCUGCAGUGGAGGAGAGUCUUGGUUGGUUGAGUUCUCUAUGUGCAAGAGGGGCUGCUACAACUGGCAUCCUACUCUGAAUGGGUAGUACAACAAAUGUGUGUUCAAAGAAAUGACAAUUGUCGUUUAUUUCGUGGUCAUGACCCGUCAUCAUCAGCCUUCACUUAUUCAGAGACAGUAAACAGGAAAUGCUACUUGCAUAACCAGUCUUCCAGAAACCCUUCUGGAGAGCAGCAUGGCCAAAUCAUGAAGGUCAGAGCUCUAGUACAGAAUGCAAAUUCAGCUUUACAUUCCACAUAAUGGAAAUUGGAAGAAAAGCGGGCUUGCAUAGUUUGUUUGACCUAUUGUAGUGUCCUGUGUAUAUCCUAAAAGAGGGGCUAUCCAAGGGUUGAUGUAAAUAAAACUUUUGAGUAUACGAGCUAGAAGGGGAAAAAGAAAAGAUACUUUAAAAAACUCGCCUCCAUUUCUCUUAAAUUAUGAAGGCCUGUAUUGGCCCCAAGUACAAUCCGGUGUCUGCUGAGCCAGUUGAGAGCAUAAUCCCAAUUCUCCAGAGCAUGGGGCAGGCCUCAGGUCCUGCAUCAGCCGGAGCUGCUGGGUGUAAAGCAGAGCACCCCACAAGAAGACACCUGCUUGUCCUGAAUGAGGGCUUUGUCCCCCAACUGCAGUGCCACACGAGGGUAACUUCGGGGCCCAGGCCAGUUAAGUGGCAGCUACAAGGCAGGAAACAACGCCGGGGCCGCUGUGGCUGGGCGGCUGCAGUUCCCCAGCGGCUGCGGGUCCCUAGCACCCCUCUGGCGCUAGCUCCAGCCCCCCGUGAUGGGAGCUAGCUCAUGCCUAGAGUAUAUACAACUCUGCCUCAGGAAAGGUGUCUCUGGAGGAAUGCUCCAUGGGGCAGCACAAGUCGGUCUUCUUUUGGGUUCCUUUUUUUUUCCAAGAUUUUACUCACUUAUUCAUGAGAGACACACAGAGAGAGGCAGAGACACAGGCAGAGGGAGAAGCAGGCUCCCUGCGGGGAGCCCAAUGGGGGACUCACAGCACUCGAUCACAGGACCCCGGGAUCCCAGGACCCUGGGGUCAUGCCCUGAGCCCAAGGCAGACGCUCCACCGCUGAGCCACCAGGCGUCCCUUCUUUUGGUUUCCUGAAGUCAAAGGCUGCCUGGCGAUACCCCUAUCUCCUGCAAGGGCAACCAACCUUGGGUGGGCAACUCUGGCCAGCUGGGCAAGGGGGGAGCUCAUUCUCACCUGUCCUGAGUCAUGGCUGGUAUUUAUAGGACCCACCUGUGAGGCCCCGUGGGAAGGACACAGCCUAGUCUUGGGGAGGGAUGGAAGGGGAGUUGGCCUGGGCAGCAGCAGCAGAGGGCUCUGGCUCUCUGCCUCCCACAGGUGGCUGGAGCUGCACAGUCUAACGCUUUGAGCCUCGGUCUCGCCACUGGAAGGACGGGGCGACUCCGCUGGGUCACCUCCUGUCUCUCCCCACAGGCCUCCAGCACAGUGAAGAAGUGGGGUUGGGCUACCUAUGCGAAGUUCCUCUGGUCCUGCUUUCUGUACGUGUCACAAAAGACAAGGAGCUCCUGGGGUGCCGCCAACGUGCUACAACUGCUCGGCGAGGUGGCUGCAAGGCCCCGCAGGUGAAUGAGCGCUCGAAAUAGGACUUGCUAUGACCCCAAAUCGGAAUUUUCAAUUUUAGUUAAUUUGAAUCCAUUUAAAAUUCAAAUUUGAAAGUCGACUAGUUGAGCCAAUUUUUGGAAAGUUUCAGGUAUGAACUUCUGAACAACUGAUUAAGUAUUUCCAAUGACAGUUUUACAUAUGAAUUAAGAUGGGAUGUGUUUACACCGGAGUAUAUUUCCAAAGACUGAGUGCCCCCUCAAAAAAAUGUAAAAUAUCUCAGUAAUUUUGAUAUUAAUUAUACGUUUAAAUAAGUAGUGAUCUUGGAUAUAUCAGGAUACAUAAAGUAUAUUAAUGAAAUUAAUGUCACACAUUUUUCUCUUUUAAUGUGGCUACUAGAAAACCUAAACAUGCAUAUGACUCACACUACGUAUUGCUAUUGGAUGGUACGAUCCUAGAAAAAUCUCUCUAAAAUCUUGAUAGCCUAGCCUCCCAGUUACCCAGGGCCUGGCCCUACCCAGUCACUGUCAUCUGUCACCUUCGCUCCUGCCCAGGAAUGGAGGCUCUUGGUGGGGCUGCCUUUAUGCAGGGCUGUAGGCUUAGGGCAGAACUUCAGACUUCACAUCUCACUACAUGUCACAGACAUUUUUUUCUUGAUUUUUUAAAAGUAAACUCUACUCCCCACAACGAGGAGCCCGAACGCACCCCCGAGAUCAAGAGGCUCACGCUCUACUGACUGAGCCCGCCCGCCAGGUGCCCCCUGUCAUGGCCUUUUCAGUAAUUACAACUCCAGGGCAAUGAUAAAACUAGAGCGAAAAUCCCAGGCAAAGCAUGUGUCCUAAGAGGGCAAAUUUACAAAUACAGUUCUGGAAUUUAGCGAAGGGGCAAAGACCCCGGCUGUUGUUGGGGCAUCCGCCCUCCACAGUGACUGACCAUCCUCGGCCAACGGCCAACCCACCCGCAGUCUCACCCCAGUAGAGAAAAGAAACAAAGUAUCUGGGCCCCCGCAUUUCUAGAAGGCAGCUUUGUCCCUGUUCUGGCUCAAAAUGGCUCAAAAUACCUCCCUCACUCACAAAAAGAGUCUUUUUCAUUGUAAAAUAAACAAAACUAUACUAUAAAAAUAGUUGAGAAAGUAAAUGGGGGAGAAUAAUUAUUUCACUGCCUUGCUGCAAUCACUGUUAGCAUUUUAUGCAUUUUCUUCCAGAUUUUUAUUCUCCGUGUAAGGUUUCUUUUUAUCACGAAGUCUAGUGAAUGCACCAUACCGUAUCCUACUUUGUUACUUAACAUUUUAUCAUUACUGUUUUUCAUAUUAUUACAUGAGCUAGAAAUGCUCGGUGGGCAGAGGGAGGUGGCUAAAUUUAAUACUUGGGCGGGGGGGGAAGGAUAUUCUAGUUCGAGAAUUUGGAAAAGGCAUGGCUAGUCUAUAAGAACUUGUUAGUAUAAUUUAUGUCGUUUUUGAGACAAACAACCAACAGGCAGUGUGGCUCUGGAGUUUACCCUGCUAUACUGGGAAUCUUGGCUUUGCCACUUGCAGCUUUGGGGAACUUAAGAUUUUUAGUAACCUUCUGGUGCCUCAGUUUUUUCAUCUCUAAAAUGGGGAUCAGAGGGCCAAGGUGAGGAUUGUGUAUCCCUCAGAAUAGUGCCUGACACAUUACAGGCAGCCAGUAAAUUUUAACUCAGAGUAUUAAAUAUAACUUGGAAUACUUAAGUCCAUUCCAAGCCUGCUGUGUGACUGACUGUAGGCCAUUUAGCAUCUUUGGGUCCAAAUGUCUGUAUCUGCAAAAUGUUUAAAUAACAACUAGACCUAUAAUCUGCUGAAGACUUGUAUGUGACAGUGAGUUGAGGUACUUACUUGUCAUGUUUUACUAAUAGGAAACUGAGGCUCAGAAAUUAAGUAACUUGCUCGAAAGUGACAGAGCCGGUCAGGUGCGUAGCCAGCAUCCCAGCAUAAAUCUGGGCGGUUCCAAGUGUCUUGCUUUCCCUGCACACGAUUGCUCAGGCUCCUUUUCAGCCUCAGCUCUGGGUCUAUGAACUUCAAAGAACAGUGCUUUUCAGUUAGUCUUGGCUGCCAGUAGGCGGCUCCAAAAACAACAUUUUUAAAUCAAAAAAAAAAAAAAAAAAAAAAAAAAA